GAUGAAGAACGUAGCGAAAGGCGAUAAGUAAUGUGAAUUGCAGAAUUCAGUGAAUCAUCGAAUCUUUGAACGCACAUUGCGCCCGCCAGCAUUCUGGCGGGCAUGCCUGUUCGAGCGUCAUUUCAACCCUCGACCUCCCCUUGGGGAGGUCGGCGUUGGGGACCGGCAGCACACCGCCGGCCCUGAAAUGGAGUGGCGGCCCGUCCGCGGCGACCUCUGCGCAGUAAUACAGCUCGCACCGGGACCCCGACGCGGCCACGCCGUAAAACACCCAACUUCUGAACGUUGACCUCGAAUCAGGUAGGACUACCCGCUGAACUUAAGCAUAUCAAUAAGCGGAGGA
Molecule: unclassified non-coding RNA, 343 nt
Filed under: soil metagenome
Description: partial contains 5.8S ribosomal RNA, internal transcribed spacer 2, and large subunit ribosomal RNA
Rfam family: 5.8S ribosomal RNA (bases 1-120)
Source: RNAcentral